AGCUGACGCGUCUGACCGUGUGCAGCUGGCGUCUAUGUGGGCAGACGGUGAUUUCAUGUCGUGGAUUUCGAAGAUGUUCGAGCCAUAUAGAUGAACGCCGGAAUGAAAGGACUCGGAAAGUGUCUCUCUGUGCAAGCUUGAAAUCAUUUACCGUCUAAUGCGCUGCAGUGUGCUUCGACGGCGGAACUUCAACUUGGCCGGACCAUAGGCUACAGUUGCGUCGUUAGCAGGCAGGACACGAGAAAAUUAUACAGGCAUGAAUAGCACAUCAGUUGGCACUUCACGAUCUUGCACAGAUGCAACGUCUAAGCGCUUACGUGUACAGAUAAGCAGAGGACCCCGCACAACCACCAGCCAAGAUAAACACGAGGGCUGUAGCAAGUUCAAGUCAGCACCUACACUCUUAAAAAUGAACUUCACCGCAUAGCACGCUCGUAGCCAACCAUCAUCUCGAAUGAUAUCGUUAUCCAUAUGAUAUCGUUCAAAACGGGAGGCGUACGCUUUUUCUGUGACAAUUAUGACCAGCAUAAGCCUCACAAAAAAGGCGUACGCCUCCAGUUUCCAUCAAAUCAGGGCAGAUAACGAUAUCAUUUGAGAUGAUGGUUGGCUAUGCCAUAUGUGCUUUGGGUAAUAAAGUGAUUCUAUUCCCCACUUUCCUGCGAAAUUAUUUGUGGGAUGCCUAAAAGCACAUUCAAAUUGUUUAAGGGAAUAUACUAAAAUAAAUGUAAAAUGUC
Long non-coding RNA from Ornithodoros turicata, 734 nucleotides. RefSeq lists it as uncharacterized. The record is from RefSeq and is a predicted model, not a curated record. The transcript is spliced from 5 exons. NCBI's taxonomy places the organism in Eukaryota, Metazoa, Arthropoda, Arachnida, Ixodida, Argasidae.